Molecule: small nuclear RNA, 19 nt
Filed under: Arabidopsis thaliana (thale cress)
Lineage: Eukaryota; Viridiplantae; Streptophyta; Magnoliopsida; Brassicales; Brassicaceae
Description: snRNA_02946
Source: RNAcentral
GGUACAUUGCAAGCUCUCA